Molecule: ribosomal RNA, 253 nt
Filed under: uncultured bacterium
Lineage: Bacteria
Description: partial 16S ribosomal RNA
Rfam family: Bacterial small subunit ribosomal RNA
Source: RNAcentral
UACAGAGGGUGCAAGCGUUGUUCGGAAUUAUUGGGCGUAAAGAGCUCGUAGGCGGUUUGUCGCGUCUGCUGUGAAAACUGGAGGCUCAACCUCCAGCCUGCAGUGGGUACGGGCAGACUAGAGUGCGGUAGGGGAGAUUGGAAUUCCUGGUGUAGCGGUGGAAUGCGCAGAUAUCAGGAGGAACACCGAUGGCGAAGGCAGAUCUCUGGGCCGUAACUGACGCUGAGGAGCGAAAGCAUGGGGAGCGAACAGG